AAUAUUGGUCAAUGGAGGCAACUCUGACGCAGCGACGCCGCGUGAGCGAUGAAGGNCUNNGGAUCNUNAAGCUCUGUCCUUGGNNNNNAAGGUCUUCGGCCUUGACGGUACCUAAGGAGGAAGCCCCGGCUAACUACGUGCCAGCAGCCGCGGUAAUACGUAGGGGGCAAGCGUUGUCCGGAAUUAUUGGGCGUAAAGGGUGCGUAGGCGGCCUUUUAAGUCAGAUGUGAAAGCACACGGCUUAACCGUGGGACUGCAUUUGAAACUGGAGGGCUUGAGUAUCGGAGAGGGUAGUGGAAUUCCCAGUGUAGCGGUGGAAUGCGUAGAUAUUGGGAGGAACACCAGUGGCGAAGGCGACUACCUGGACGAAAACUGACGCUGAGGCACGAAAGCUAGGGGAGCAAACA
This 407-nucleotide ribosomal RNA is filed under the name uncultured bacterium. Its description in RNAcentral is "partial 16S ribosomal RNA". It matches the Rfam family "Bacterial small subunit ribosomal RNA", at positions 360 to 774 of the family's 1533-position model. The record is from RNAcentral.